Scleropages formosus (Asian bonytongue) is the source of this 131-nucleotide non-coding RNA. Lineage: Eukaryota; Metazoa; Chordata; Actinopteri; Osteoglossiformes; Osteoglossidae. The record is from Ensembl.
GUGGUGGUCCUGUUCUUGGCUACAGCUCUGGACAAUGUGCUGUAGCCUAGGCUUCCACGCAGAGCAAAGUUGGUUCCUGCCGACAGGCCCUUUCCAGGUAUUAGGUUGCCUGUGCGAUGGUUCCAUACACA